UUAUUGUUUCAUUUCAGCAUGAAUAUGUAUUUAAAACAAAAGAAAUACUGGUUAAUAACGUUCCAUGUAAGGCUGUGUGACAUAACAAUAUGUAUCUUUCAGAAACUCUAAAAAUGUCUGUUGACACUGGUUACAUUUUACGCUAUACUGUAUCAUUAAUGGUAC
This is a long non-coding RNA of Thalassophryne amazonica, 165 nucleotides long. RefSeq lists it as uncharacterized. The record is from RefSeq and is a predicted model, not a curated record. Lineage: Eukaryota; Metazoa; Chordata; Actinopteri; Batrachoidiformes; Batrachoididae. The transcript has 4 exons.